UACUAGAGUAGCACUCGCAUAUCAAUAAGCGGAGGAAAAGAAACUAACAAGGAUUCCCCUAGCUAACGGCGAGUGAAGCGGGAAGAGCUCAAAUUUGAAAUCUUAAAGGGUUUCCCUUUACGAAUUGUAGUUUAAAGAAGUGUUUUCUGUUGAGGUUUUGGUAAAAGUUCUUUGGAAUAGGACAUCAUAGAGGGUGAGAAUCCCGUAUUUGACCUUUACUUUCAACUUUGUGAUACACUUUCAAAGAGUCGGAUUGUUUGGGAAUGCAGUCCAAAAUGGGUGGUAAAUUUCAUCUAAAGCUAAAUAUUGGCGAGAGACCGAUAUCGAACAAGUACCGUGAGGGAAAGAUGAAAAGAACUUUGAAAAGAGAGUUAAACAGUACGUGAAAUUGUCAAAAGGGAAGCGUUUGACACCAGUGUUGUUUUUCUGAAAAUCAAUUAAAGAACUGUUUAUGCUAAGUUGUUUAGACUUUAUCAGCUAACUGUUUAGUUUUGAGCUUUUCUCUAAUGCACUUUUCAGUUAACAAGUCAACAUCAAUUUCUUUUGCUGUAAAAAAGCUUGAGGAAGGUGGCUUGAGAUUCGUCUUAAGUGUCUAUAGCCUCUUGCCUAUGCAGUCGGAGAGAUUGAGGUCUGCAGCGUAGGAUCCUUCGGGGCUAAAUGCAUUUGUGCUAAGUUAUAGCAUUUUAUAGACAACUUGUUGACUAUGAUUUGUCUUGUAGCUUACUCGCUUAUGUUAUUUUACCUACGCUUAGGAUGUUGAUAUCGCGCUCUCACUG
RNAcentral lists this ribosomal RNA (776 nucleotides) under uncultured Neocallimastigales. RNAcentral describes it as "partial large subunit ribosomal RNA". It matches the Rfam family "Eukaryotic large subunit ribosomal RNA", at positions 20 to 634 of the family's 3401-position model. The record is from RNAcentral. Lineage: Eukaryota; Fungi; Neocallimastigomycota; Neocallimastigomycetes; Neocallimastigales.